GGACGAACGCUGGCGGCGUGCUUAACACAUGCAAGUCGAACGGAAAGGCCCUGCUUUUGUGGGGUGCUCGAGUGGCGAACGGGUGAGUAACACGUGAGUAACCUGCCCUUGACUUUGGGAUAACUUCAGGGAACUGGGGCUAAUACCGGAUAGGAGCUCCUGCUGCAUGGUGGGGGUUGGAAAGUUUCGGCGGUUGGGGAUGGACUCGCGGCUUAUCAGCUUGUUGGUGGGGUAGUGGCUUACCAAGGCUUUGACGGGUAGCCGGCCUGAGAGGGUGACCGGCCACAUUGGGACUGAGAUACGGCCCAGACUCCUACGGGAGGCAGCAGUGGGGAAUAUUGCACAAUGGGCGGAAGCCUGAUGCAGCAACGCCGCGUGCGGGAUGACGGCCUUCGGGUUGUAAACCGCUUUCGCCUGUGACGAAGCGUGAGUGACGGUAAUGGGUAAAGAAGCACCGGCUAACUACGUG
This 469-nucleotide ribosomal RNA is filed under the name uncultured bacterium. RNAcentral describes it as "partial 16S ribosomal RNA". It matches the Rfam family "Bacterial small subunit ribosomal RNA", at positions 27 to 507 of the family's 1533-position model. The record is from RNAcentral.